UUUCCACUCCUACCAGAACUGUGGGGGAGGGCUCCCCGGGAGAUCACAAGGUAACCCACUGGACAAAGGAGCGUGCUUGCAUGGCCACCGUGGCUCAGCCCCACUCAGGCACCGAAGGUACGAAGGGGAAGGAGCAGGCCCAGAAUACAGACAGGGGAUGCACACAGCACACUGAAGUUAGACCUGUGUUGGGAGGCGAGGUGAUGACCCCCUGCCCUUCCUGCCCGAUCCAUCCGUGCAUUUCCUGGGCACCUCUGUUUUCCAUGUGUUUCUCUCCCAGGAUACACCUGCUUUGUAAGCAGAUAUUCCAGAGCUUGCUCAUCAUGUUGCCUGGAAUCCCCGGGCUCCCCAGCUGGUAUCACAUGCUCACCUCACUGGUUCUCUCUGUCAGAGCGUCCUUGGGGGGCCUCCUGGGCUGUUUAAGGUGGCAUGUUCUUUAGAAUAUGCUGUGUACUGUAAAUGCUCUGGGGGCACUUGUGAUUUUUUGGAAAGCACCACAAGUAGGUCCAAGCCAAAUCUGAUGAAGAGGAUAGAUCAAGGUGCAUAAUCAUGUUUUAAUCAAAGUAGAAUGGAGAGUGAUGGUUAGGCGGGGUUCACAAACUUCACGGAAGCUGUGAGUUCUUUCAGAACCCUGAGGUGCUGGAGCCAGCCGCUGUUCUUGGAUGUCCUCCCCGCCUCACCCCUUCGUGUGUCAAUAUCUUACCUACUUGCUUGCUUACAACUUCGCUUCUUUUUAGUCUUUCUUUUUCGGGUUCUCACAAAAAACUACCCGCAUUCCCGCAAGAACCCCUUGUGAGUCUUUGACGUUUUCUGUCUGAACCAGGAAGAAAACUGAGGGGUGGGUGAAGUGCUUUGUCCUGUUCCCAGCUUGGAUCUUAACUUUCCUUUCUCUCCACUGUCCUUGUUCCCAAAUAGAUAUACAAAAUGUAAGGUUCCUCCUGGGCCUUCCUGGCCCUGUCAGGGCUUUCAGUCCACAGCUCUGAUAAACCACUUCUGUGAACGGUUGGCUCCUUCUUGUGUGCCCCUCCCAGUUCUCUAGGCUGUGGCUGGUUUUAAUUUUGGUGAAAUAACAUAAAAUGCACCCUCAUAACUAUUUUUAAGUCUGUAAUUCAGUGGCAUUAAGUAGUUGCAUCAUUAUGUAAUCAGCACCAUCAUCUGUCCGCAGAGCGCUUCAUCUUGCAAAGCUGAAUCUCUGUCGCCAUCAAACACUGACUCCCCCAUUCCUCUGGUGACCACUUGCCCCUGGCAGCCACCCCGGUCUUCCUGCUGUCUCUGCAUUUGACUCCUGCCUCCGAUAAGUGGAAUGAUUAUUUGCUCUUUUGUGAUUGGCUUAUUUUACUUGAUGUAAUGUUGAUGUUCAUCAGUGUUGUGGCAUGUGUCAGAAUUUCCUUCCUGUUUAAGGUUGAAUAAUAUCCCACUGUGUGUCUGUUUCGUUCAUCCAUCCAACCAUCGAUGGACGCUUGGGUUGCUUCUACCUUUUGGCUCUUGUGAAUGCUGCUGCGAACACGGAUGUACAAAUCUCUUCAAGACCCUGCUUCCAGUUCUUUGGGGUUUAGACCCAAAAGUGGAAUUGUUGGAUCGUUGGCAGUUGGCAGUUCUGUUUUUCAUGUUUUGAGAAGCUGCCAUGCUAUUUUCCACAACGUCUAUACCAUGUUACAUUCCCACCAACAGCACACAAGGCUUCCGAUUUCUCCACCCCCUUGCUGAUGCUUGUUCUUUCCUCUUUUGUUCUAUAUGGCAGCCAUCGUGAUUUGAGUUAGGGAGUGUCAGAUGUUGGGGCGCUUAGGUGGCCUGCACCUACAUAGACUUAGGAACCACUUUAGAAGUGUCUCUCUGGCUUCUUCUCCGAGAGAAUACCAAAUGGCGGAUGACGCCGGUGCUGUGGGAGGGCCCGGAGGGCCGGGGGGCCCUGGAAUGGGAGGCCGCAGAGGCUUCGGCAGUGGCAUCCGGGACUGUGGUCGGGGCCGGGGUCAAGGCCGUGGAGCUCGCAGAGGCAAGGCCGAGGACAAGGAGUGGAUCUCCAUCACCAAGCUGGGCUGCCUGGUCAAGGACAUGAAGACCAAGUCCCUGGAGGAGAUCUCUCUCUGCUCCCUGCCCAUCAAGGAAUCUAGGUCAUUGAUUUCUUCCUGGGAGCAUCCCUCAAGGACGAGGUUCUGAAGAUCAUGCCUGUGCAAAAGCAGACCCGUGCUGGCCAUCGGACCAGGUUCAAGGCGUUUGUUGCCAUCGGAGAUUACAACAGGCACGUGGGCCUGGGUUUCAAGUGCUCCAAGGAGGUCGCCACUGCCGUCCGUGGGGCCAUCGUCCUGGCCAAGCUUUCCAUCGUCCCCGUGCGGCAAGGCUACUGGGGGAACAAGAUCAGCAAGCCCCACACUGUCCCAUCCCGGGUGACUGGCUGCUGUGGCCCUGUGCUGGGGUGCCUCAUCCCCGCCCCCAGAGGCACUGGCAUGGUCUCAGCCCCUGUGCCCAAGAAGCUACUGAUGCUGGCCGGUAUCGACGACUGCCACACCUCGGCCAGGGGCUGCACUGCCACCCUGGGGAACUUUGCCAAGGCUACUUUUGAUGCCAUCCCCGAGACCUACAGCUGUCUCACCCCUGACUUCUGGAAGGAGACGGUGUUCACCAAGUCUCCCUAUCAGAAAUUCACUGACCAUCUUGUGAACACCCACAACAGAGUCUCCGUGCAGAGGACCUAGGCUCCAGCUGUGGCCAUCACGUAG
Leptonychotes weddellii (Weddell seal) is the source of this 2717-nucleotide non-coding RNA. The record is from RefSeq and is a predicted model, not a curated record. Lineage: Eukaryota; Metazoa; Chordata; Mammalia; Carnivora; Phocidae.